CAAGAGGUUGUGAAUCUGCAUGGGGUACUAGUUUCAAUUAUUUUUUAUCGUGACACACAGUUUAUGUCUAACUUCUUGUGAUUUUUUCAGAGAGGGUUGGGGACCAAUGUGAGUUUGAGUACUGUUUUUCAUCUGUAGACGAAUAGGAAGACAGAGAGAACUAUUUAGACAUUGGAGGAUAUGCUUCGAGUCUGUGCAAUUGAUUAUGGUGGCAAU
This 216-nucleotide long non-coding RNA is filed under the name Capsicum annuum. RNAcentral describes it as "long non-coding RNA (CANN_LNC022377)". Lineage: Eukaryota; Viridiplantae; Streptophyta; Magnoliopsida; Solanales; Solanaceae. The record is from RNAcentral.